UAAACGACCACCAACCUGUCCACCUGGACACUGACUGUCGAGCUCCCCUGCUACCCACUUCAGACCAGCUGCCCACGCCCCAGUGACCGGCCAAACGAUGAAUGAGGUGAGCACUGAUGAAGAGCCAUUACUGUACUGACUGCACAAGGUGAAGGCCUGUGUCUUCACUGCUUGACUGUCAAUGUUAGAUGCUACAAUGUCAGAUACAAACCUUGAGGAACCUUUGAACUUGCAAGAAAGUGGAAGAAAGCCACAAGAUGAGGGGCAACGUGAGAAGAACGUCCCAAAAAACAAGCAAGACUCGGCCGAUGUGUUCAGCAUUAGUUCAGCAAGCCCAUGUCCAGUCAAGGAUGCUCAAGUUAACAGUGAAACCAAACACAGCAAAGUGUCUGAGCUGGCUUCAGGUCAGGCUUUGAAUAGAUCUGGAAUCCUGGUCCAUCUACAGCUUGGUUCACCUCUGGAGUCAGUAAGAGAACUGAUGGAGGUGGAAGAAACAUGUGAACUGGGGGUUCUAGGAGACAGGAUGGUCUUAUUUAACGAGCAAAAGGAAAGCAAAGAGAUCUUUCCUGCCACAAACAUAAGAUACAUGUCACUGACCACAGAAGGGCUUGGAGAUGCCUUGGGAAGGGCCAUCAUGGCGUCCGCCACAAAACCUGAUGCAACUGUAGAAAGCCCCAUGACAGAAGCCUGUAGCUCCUUGCAUGAGAUUCCAGGAUUGUGGCCUCAAGAAGAUGCCUCAAAGGUUUCAGUCAACGAGUGUCAACAGGUGGAGCGGUGCUCUUCUACUAUGUGUAGUGACCAGACGGGGCACCAGCUGACACCAUGCAACGCUAAUUCUGGUGUUGUUGAGGUCCAACUGGACAAGCAUUCCUCUGUCACCCCUUUGCAAGACCUUCUAAACCCUGUAGAGGAACAUAUGUGUCACCAAACUGGUGUAGAAGUUAAAGUUAAGUAUGAUGACAAGUUGGGGUUAGACAACAAGUCAAAUUCAGAGGAGUUUCAAGGUCACAACUGUGAAAAGGAAGACGCUGCAACCACUGUGGCUAACCAGACUCUAACUGAGGUUCUCACACCUUGUAAAGCCAAAGUGGAACAGCACGAACAGCUGAAAUCCUCUUCAUUUGAUCUGUCUGCCCAGCUGCAUUCUGCUCAAGUUAUGACUGCAAGUCUGCAUCAGAGAGUGCUUUGCCUGGAGCAUGAAUGCAGCCUCAAAGAGAAGGAGCUACAAGAGCUAACAGCCAAUCUGGAGAAGACUAGCAAAGCUCUAGAAGUGAGGAACUCAGAAAUGACUACGGUCUCUAAGGAGCUCCACCUGCUUCACUUAGAGCUGGAAGCAAUGAAGAAUCCACCGACUGCUGCCCGGACCGUCAAUGCCAAUGGUCAGGCCACUCUGAGCUCACAGCAGCUGCUGGCACAAAACAGCAGCAGCUCAAAACUGUGUAGACUGUUGUGAUAGUGCCCAUAUGGAAAAAAAUAUGGAUCUGUAUUUUUAUAUUAUUAAAAUACACUUCAAAUACAUUCAGUCUAUUCUGAGAUACAUUCCAAACACUAAAAUAUAACUCAGAAUGUAUUACUGUAUUAACCAAAUCUAUUUUAAAACACAUUUACACAUAGAAAAGUACCACACAAACAUUAUGUAUGUAAAUGUAUUUAUCAAAAUACAUUUGAAAAUGUAUGAAAAUAGCCAGAAUCCUGUCUAAUGAACUUUAUUGUUUGGAUACGUUUGGAUACUGUAAUGAAUUUGUAUUCCAGUAUCUUCAUUUUAAAU
This is a long non-coding RNA of Pygocentrus nattereri (red-bellied piranha), 1768 nucleotides long. Lineage: Eukaryota; Metazoa; Chordata; Actinopteri; Characiformes; Serrasalmidae. The record is from Ensembl.